UGGAGUGUAAGGAACAUGUUAAAGAGAAGAGUUUUGAGAGAAUCGAGCCCAAAAAUCGAGAAAAGACGAAGAUUCUGAAGUCGGGACGAAAAGGGGCAUUUCGGCGGUCAAAGGAGUUGACCGCCGAAUUUGGGCGAUUUGAAGAGCAAAAACGGCGACCAACUCGGCGAUCGCCGAGUUGGCCGCCGAAUUCCCUGGAUCGAUAUUAUGCAUUGUGGAAGAA
This 223-nucleotide long non-coding RNA is filed under the name Salvia miltiorrhiza (redroot sage). RNAcentral's name for it is "long non-coding RNA (SMIL_LNC010239)". Lineage: Eukaryota; Viridiplantae; Streptophyta; Magnoliopsida; Lamiales; Lamiaceae. The record is from RNAcentral.